RNAcentral lists this ribosomal RNA (301 nucleotides) under uncultured bacterium. Its description in RNAcentral is "partial 16S ribosomal RNA". It matches the Rfam family "Bacterial small subunit ribosomal RNA", at positions 509 to 807 of the family's 1533-position model. The record is from RNAcentral.
CAGUCGCCACGGGAAUACGAAGGGGGCUAGCGUUGUUCGGAUUUACUGGGCGUAAAGGGCGCGUAGGCGGACUGAUAAGUCAGGGGUGAAAUCCCAAGGCUCAACCUUGGAACUGCCUUUGAUACUGUUUGUCUUGAGUUCGAGAGAGGUAAGUGGAACUGCGAGUGUAGAGGUGAAAUUCGUAGAUAUUCGCAAGAACACCAGUGGCGAAGGCGGCUUACUGGCUCGAUACUGACGCUGAGGCGCGAAAGCGUGGGGAGCAAACAGGAUUAGAGACCCCUGUAGUCCCUGUCUCUUAUAC